GGACUCGUAGCUCAGCUGGAUAGAGCGCUGCCCUCCGAAGGCAGAGGUCGCGCGUUCGAAUCGCGCCGGGUCCA
RNAcentral lists this transfer RNA (74 nucleotides) under Saccharibacter floricola DSM 15669. RNAcentral describes it as "tRNA-Arg". It matches the Rfam family "tRNA". Rfam says of the family: Transfer RNA (tRNA) molecules are approximately 80 nucleotides in length. Their secondary structure includes four short double-helical elements and three loops (D, anti-codon, and T loops). Further hydrogen bonds mediate the characteristic L-shaped molecular structure. tRNAs have two regions of fundamental functional importance: the anti-codon, which is responsible for specific mRNA codon recognition, and the 3' end, to which the tRNAs corresponding amino acid is attached (by aminoacyl-tRNA synthetases). tRNAs cope with the degeneracy of the genetic code in two manners: having more than one tRNA (with a specific anti-codon) for a particular amino acid; and 'wobble' base-pairing, i.e. permitting non-standard base-pairing at the 3rd anti-codon position. Lineage: Bacteria; Pseudomonadati; Pseudomonadota; Alphaproteobacteria; Acetobacterales; Acetobacteraceae. The record is from RNAcentral.